GCUAUACUGCAGUCGAGCGGACUAAUGGGAGCUUGCUCCCGUUAGUUAGCGGCGGACGGGUGAGUAACACGUGGGCAACCUACCUGUAAGACUGGGAUAACUUCGGGAAACCGGAGCUAAUACCGGAUGACAUAAAGGAACUCCUGUUCCUUUAUUGAAAGAUGGCUUCGGCUAUCACUUACAGAUGGGCCCGCGGCGCAAUAGCUAGUUGGUGAGGUAACGGCUCACCAAGGCGACGAUGCGUAACCGACCUGAGAGGGUGAUCGGCCACACUGGGACUGAAACACGGCCCAGACUCCUACGGGAGGCAGCAGUAGGGAAUCUUCCGCAAUGGACGAAAGUCUGACGGAACAACGCCGCGUGAGCGAUGAAGGCCUUCGGGUCGUAAAGCUCUGUUGUUAGGGAAGAAUAAGUGCUAGUUAAAUAAGCUGGCACCUUGACGGUACCUAACCAGAAAGCCACGGCUAACUACGUGCCAGCAGCCGCGGUAAUACGUAGGUGGCAAGCGUUGUCCGGAAUUAUUGGGCGUAAAGCGCGCGCAGGCGGUUUCUUAAGUCUGAUGUGAAAGCCCCCGGCUCAACCGGGGAGGGUCAUUGGAAACUGGGAAACUUGAGUGCAGAAGAAGAAAGUGGAAUUCCAAGUGUAGCGGUGAAAUGCGUAGAGAUUUGGAGGAACACCAGUGGCGAAGGCGACUUUUCUGGUCUGUAACUGACGCUGAGGCGCGAAAGCGUGGGGAGCAAACAGGAUUAGAUACCCUGGUAGUCCACGCUGUAAACGAUGAGUGCUAAGUGUUAGAG
This 797-nucleotide ribosomal RNA is filed under the name Bacillus sp. (in: firmicutes). RNAcentral describes it as "bacterial SSU rRNA". It matches the Rfam family "Bacterial small subunit ribosomal RNA", at positions 48 to 828 of the family's 1533-position model. The record is from RNAcentral. Lineage: Bacteria; Bacillati; Bacillota; Bacilli; Caryophanales; Bacillaceae.